CCCCUAAGGCGAGGCCGAAAGGCGUAGUCGAUGGGAAACAGGUUAAUAUUCCUGUACUUGGUGUUACUGCGAAGGGGGGACGGAGAAGGCUAUGUUGGCCGGGCGACGGUUGUCCCGGUUUAAGCGUGUAGGCUGGUUUUCCAGGCAAAUCCGGAAAAUCAAGGCUGAGGCGUGAUGACGAGGCACUACGGUGCUGAAGCAACAAAUGCCCUGCUUCCAGGAAAAGCCUCUAAGCAUCAGGUAACAUCAAAUCGUACCCCAAACCGACACAGGUGGUCAGGUAGAGAAUACCAAGGCGCUUGAGAGAACUCGGGUGAAGGAACUAGGCAAAAUGGUGCCGUAACUUCGGGAGAAGGCACGCUGAUACGUAGGUGAAGUCCCUCGCGGAUGGAGCUGAAAUCAGUCGAAGAUACCAGCUGGCUGCAACUGUUUAUUAAAAACACAGCACUGUGCAAACACGAAAGUGGACGUAUACGGUGUGACGCCUGCCCGGUGCCGGAAGGUUAAUUGAUGGGGUUAGCGGUAACGCGAAGCUCUUGAUCGAAGCCCCGGUAAACGGCGGCCGUAACUAUAACGGUCCUAAGGUAGCGAAAUUCCUUGUCGGGUAAGUUCCGACCUGCACGAAUGGCGUAAUGAUGGCCAGGCUGUCUCCACCCGAGACUCAGUGAAAUUGAACUCGCUGUGAAGAUGCAGUGUACCCGCGGCAAGACGGAAAGACCCCGUGAACCUUUACUAUAGCUUGACACUGAACAUUGAGCCUUGAUGUGUAGGAUAGGUGGGAGGCUUUGAAGUGUGGACGCCAGUCUGCAUGGAGCCGACCUUGAAAUACCACCCUUUAAUGUUUGAUGUUCUAACGUUGGCCCCUAAUCGGGGUUGCGGACAGUGUCUGGUGGGUAGUUUGACUGGGGCGGUCUCCUCCUAAAGAGUAACGGAGGAGCACGAAGGUUGGCUAAUCCUGGUCGGACAUCAGGAGGUUAGUGCAAUGGCAUAAGCCAGCUUGACUGCGAGCGUGACGGCGCGAGCAGGUGCGAAAGCAGGUCAUAGUGAUCCGGUGGUUCUGAAUGGAAGGGCCAUCGCUCAACGGAUAAAAGGUACUCCGGGGAUAACAGGCUGAUACCGCCCAAGAGUUCAUAUCGACGGCGGUGUUUGGCACCUCGAUGUCGGCUCAUCACAUCCUGGGGCUGAAGUAGGUCCCAAGGGUAUGGCUGUUCGCCAUUUAAAGUGGUACGCGAGCUGGGUUUAGAACGUCGUGAGACAGUUCGGUCCCUAUCUGCCGUGGGCGCUGGAGAACUGAGGGGGGCUGCUCCUAGUACGAGAGGACCGGAGUGGACGCAUCACUGGUGUUCGGGUUGUCAUGCCAAUGGCACUGCCCGGUAGCUAAAUGCGGAAGAGAUAAGUGCUGAAAGCAUCUAAGCACGAAACUUGCCCCGAGAUGAGUUCUCCCUGACUCCUUGAGAGUCCUGAAGGAACGUUGAAGACGACGACGUUGAUAGGCCGGGUGUGUAAGCGCAGCGAUGCGUUGAGCUAACCGGUACUAAUGAACCGUGAGGCUUAACCUU
This 1559-nucleotide ribosomal RNA is filed under the name Escherichia coli 5-366-08_S3_C3. RNAcentral's name for it is "bacterial LSU rRNA". It matches the Rfam family "Bacterial large subunit ribosomal RNA", at positions 1388 to 2925 of the family's 2925-position model. Lineage: Bacteria; Pseudomonadati; Pseudomonadota; Gammaproteobacteria; Enterobacterales; Enterobacteriaceae. The record is from RNAcentral.